AUUAAACGCUGGCGGCAUGCCUUACACAUGCAAGUCGAACGGCAGCACGGGGGCAACCCUGGUGGCGAGUGGCGAACGGGUGAGUAAAGCAUCGGAACGUGCCCUGGAGUGGGGGGAUAACGUAGCGAAAGUUACGCUAAUACCGCAUAUUCUGUGAGCAGGAAAGCAGGGGAUCGCAAGACCUUGCGCUCUGGGAGCGGCCGAUGUCGGAUUAGCUAGUUGGUGGGGUAAAGGCCUACCAAGGCGACGAUCCGUAGCGGGUCUGAGAGGAUGAUCCGCCACACUGGGACUGAGAAACGGCCCAGACUCCUACGGGAGGCAGCAGUGGGGAAUUUUGGACAAUGGGCGAAAGCCUGAUCCAGCCAUGCCGCGUGAGUGAAGAAGGCC
This 387-nucleotide ribosomal RNA is filed under the name uncultured bacterium. RNAcentral describes it as "bacterial SSU rRNA". It matches the Rfam family "Bacterial small subunit ribosomal RNA", at positions 29 to 416 of the family's 1533-position model. The record is from RNAcentral.